GCCGGGCAUGGUGGCUCAUGCCUGUAAUCCCAACAUUUUGGGAGGCCGAGGCAGGUGGAUCACUUGAGGUCAGGAGUUCAAGACCAGCCUGGCCAACAAGGUGAAACCCUGUUUCUA
This 117-nucleotide non-coding RNA is filed under the name Nomascus leucogenys (northern white-cheeked gibbon). Lineage: Eukaryota; Metazoa; Chordata; Mammalia; Primates; Hylobatidae. The record is from Rfam by way of RNAcentral.